GAGGUGGAUAGUAACUGCUUAGCUUUACUCAGUUAUUCACUAUAUAUACACUUUAUAAGGAACAUACUUGUAUGUGGUAGUUUCACUGCGCCAUAUAUAAUUAUUAUUAUUAGUGGUAAUCUCUUGAGUAUUUCUGCCUUCUCUAAACAUCUCAUUAAACGAAGAACAAGGAUGGUUUAAACAAAAUAUCACUGACACUUAAAGUUUAUUAUGUUAAAGUGGCUUGUUUGUACACAAACUGUUCUAUUGUUAUUUUCGGUAUACGUAGUUGUAUGUGCAGGUCAAGUGAAUAUAUGGUUAAAACAAUAGAAAAUGAAUAACUUUACCUUAUCCUAGCAUAUAUACACCACCUUAUAUAAGUAUUCCUUCCACAGCUCCAAGUCAGGACUGUUCUGCCACUCAAAAAUAAUUGAUUCCAGUCAAAAGUUAAGUGUAAAAAUUACUGCCAGAUCUAUUAAUAAUCUGUGGCUUACCUGGAGCUGCCAAAAAUACACAGCCUUAAUUUGAUCAAUAACUUGGAUACCAUUAACUUUAUGUAUAAACUUGCAACAUUCAUCUUUGCUGUAUCAUUUACUGGGAAAAAAUUAUAUUGUGACUGUUUGCAUGGUCAGCUUUAUUUCAAUUCAAUUUUGAAUUGAAUUGAAUUUAUUGGAACUACUUGACAGCUUUGAAACACAUUCAGAUUUUAUUGUAGUAGCAAAGUCUCACACUAAAAAAGCUAGGAAAAAUAUGAGCUUUAAUUUGAGUACCUAAAAGUCCUCUUGAAAGAAAUGAAGCAUUUCAUUCAAUUGUGCUUUGUUUUACUUUUCAAGUUCAGCCAUUUUUAGGAAUGUCUAAUAAAUAAUCUACACAUGUUUUUUUCCAUGGGGUAUAAAUAUGGCAGAAAUAAAAGGCCCAUUUCUUUUAUCCAAAUGGCCAGUAGGCUGGAUGACAACCCCUGGUUAUCUUGUAAUCAAACAGUCAGGAUGUCUGGAGGGGUAAAAUUAAAAUCUUCAAAGCUCACUGCAAGAAAAAAAAAAAAAAAACAUAACAAAGACUGACAUGUUGGAGUCAGCCAUUUGGUUAAGUGACCCCACUCCACCCACUCAAAAAAACAUUUUCUGUCUUAUUAUCACAGAUUGUGGAGUUUGCUGAACCCAGCUAAGACUUUGAAUAGAACAAUGUGCUCUGGUCAGUUGUGGCAAAGUUUUUUGGCCUAAGCUCUAGGUAUCCUUGGCAAGAAACAAAGAGUAAAUAUGUAGAAAGGUAUACCAACAGUGGAGAAAAUGUGAUGUGGUUUUCUUCCAAAGACCCUUGGAACCUUGUUAGGAUUCAUGAUAUUAUAUUACUACUGCCAGGACCAUUUUAAAUAAAAUUCUGAGUGCCAAUAAACUGAAGAUAGUUCAUCAACUGGUCUUUUCAACUUCUGUUUUGUUCUACUGUUCUGUUGGCUGUGCAAAAAUAUGGACUACCAGCAGGGCUACCAAUGUUGGAACUUUCUAAAUUUAUCAGUGCAAGAUUAUGCUACGGCCAUUAAAGAUAUAUCACUAUCAAUAAAUGUGUUCGGCAUUGUAUAUUUCUGAGUUUUCUGCACUAUCUCAUAAUAAUUUUUAAAAAAUCAACUCAAUCCUCAUGAAAUAAUGAAACAUAAACAUAAACCAAGACGACCACAUGUUGGAUCAACAUCUGUCUCACACCAAAAAGGUUCCAGUCAGUCAUUUCCAAGCUCACUAAAAUCCUUCAAUUUUCACAGACUAUCAUUAUUAUUAGAGAAAUAAACAAUCCUCCUCCACUUCCAGUAAUAAAGCAAUAUCCAGCUCUGAGAAAAUGAGAAAUGACUGUUGACCUUUACUUCAUGUUUCUGUGAUAAGAGUGCUGCAAUAAAAAGACGUCACCACACAUUGCGCAGUCCAAUGUGUAUGGAAGGAACUCGUCAUUUAUAACAGGCAAAUGAAGCAACAAAAAAAUCAUUAGACUUAAAAUAGUAUCUUGAACUUGUCAUUAAAGAAUUUUAUUUCUGAACAUUCCAAGUAAUACAAAACCUUGCUAAUGAAUUUCAAAAUACAAAAAAGUAAUAUUUUAUAUCAUUUUACAAAAUAUGACACUGGUAGGAGCAUCUACCGUUAUUUCACCA
This is a long non-coding RNA of Xiphophorus couchianus (Monterrey platyfish), 2113 nucleotides long. RefSeq lists it as uncharacterized. The record is from RefSeq and is a predicted model, not a curated record. Lineage: Eukaryota; Metazoa; Chordata; Actinopteri; Cyprinodontiformes; Poeciliidae. The transcript has 2 exons.